CGCGCCGCCUCCUUGUGACGUAUUAUUAAGCGGACAGAGAGGAGGGCGGUUUGAAAACAAACCGAAUUACCGGAUAAACACCGGAACACCGCGUUCACCGGGAGGCCGCGACGGCGUCAGAGCGCGUCAGAGCGCGCGGAGACUCCCGGUUGAGGUUUAUUCCCGCCGUUUUCACCCAUUUUAACAAACUAACGUUAACUAGCUCCGUUAGCUCCGUUAGCUUAGCCCGCUAGCUCCGUUAGCUUAGCCCGAGCCACGUGAACGAGCCCGGGAGAAGAUGGCGAGCGUGCACGAGAGCCUGUACUUCAACCCGAUGAUGACGAACGGGGUCGUGCACGCGAACGUGUUCGGAACCAGAGACUGGGUCAGCCCCUACAAGAUCUCCCUCAUGGCGCUGCUCUGCGAAAUGACCGCGUCCAAAAUCUCUCUGCCGGAGCGGAGGCGGCUCAACAAGCUCAUCCUCCCGCUGCAGCAGGGUCCAGAUCUGAGUCUGGGUCAGUUCCUGAAGACUGUGGAGGAGUGCUGCCCUCAGACUGCAUAUGCUGUCAAACUCAAGCUCCAUGAAAUGGCCAACGGAGAGCUGAAGGACAUGGAAUACUUCUUUUACGACCUCCCCAAUCCGUACAUUGCGUUUGAUUCUGAGGCCUAUAAAACCAGCGUUGUGGGUCUUUUUAUGAGGCACAUGUUUCUGGCCUACGACAAGCUGUCUUUCAGUCAGGUGUACAAGCUGUACAAGUCCCUGCAGCAGUACUACCACAGCCACUACGCCAAGCCCAGCGACGGGCAGGUGGGUUUGCCGGCGCUGGUCGCUGACGACUCCGACAUGGACCUCACCAACCCGGAGGACGCCGUCGGGGACAGAAUAGACAAAGAGGAGCUGGACACCCCGCUGCAUGAGUCCGAGCUGAGAAACGACAACGCUCCCAGCAGAGGUCCCCUGUCACAAAAACAAGCAGAGUACUUUCUUGCAAGACAGGCUUAUCUCCUGAAGAACGACGAGAACAAAGCUCUAAAGCCCGCCGCGCUGCAGGAGGAGCUCAACAACAUGCUGAAGUUUAACCCAGAUUUUGCUGAAGCGCAUUACCUCAACUACCUCAACAGCAUGAGAGUCCAGGACAUCUUCCUCUCCGCCCACAGCCUCUUACAUUAUUUCGACCGCCUCAUCUUGUCUGGAAACGAGGGAAAGAGCAACGGGGACGAAGGCUACGGCCGGAGCCUCCGCUACGCUGCCCUCAACCUGGCGAGCCUGCACUGCCGCUUCGGCCACUAUCAGCAGGCCGAUCUGGCUCUGCAGGAGGCCAUCCGCAUUGCCCAGGAGUCCAAUGAUCACGUGUGCUUGCAGCACUGUCUGAGUUGGCUCUACACGCUGGAACAGACGAGAGGAUCUGACAGCACGGUGUUAACUGAGGACUCGGUGAAAAUGGCUGCCCACUUCUGCCUGCCAUACUUGGCGUCUCUGGGCAUUCAGUCUCUGGUCCAGCAGGGGGCGACGCAGGGUAAGACGGCCCACAAGCUGAUGGACGCGCUGAAGGACACAGACAUCCUGCACUGGAAGCACAGUCUGUCGGAGCUGAUCGAGAUCAGCCUGGCUCAGACUACGUCCAUAUGGAGGAUGUACGGCAAGAGCACCAUGGCUCUGCAGCAGGCCCAGCUGCUGCUCAACAUGAGCAGUCUGGAGCCCGUCAACUUCGGGGUCCAGCAGAACAACACGGAGGCGUUCGCCGUGGCGCUCUGCCACCUGGCCGAGCUGCACGCUGAGCAGGGCCUGUACGGAGCGGUGUCAGAGAUUCUCCAGCAUUUGAAGGAGCAGUUUCCUCCUCACUCACAGCACGCCAAGCUCUGGAUGCUGUGCGAUCUGAAAAUCCAGUUUGAGAGGCACAUGAACGAAGGGAAAUACCACCUGGCGGAGCCGCUGGUCACCGCCAUCUCUGCCCUAAACAAGACAGAAGGUCUCUACAGGAAAGCUCAAGUCCUGAAGGCCCUGAACCGGAGCACUGAGGCGUACAGCAUCCUACAGCGACUGCAGGUGCACUGUGAGAAGACUAAAUGCACAGAGGUCGUCAUCAGAGUCAUGCUUUCCACCGCUGAGCUCCACUGGGAGUCCUCCGGGUUCUCCACCGCUCUCCCUCUCCUCCUGCAGGCCUUGGCUCUGGCUAGACAGCAUCACCUACAGUCCCUGGCCUCAGAGACCAUCCUUCAUCUGGCCUUCACUCAGCUGAUGUUGGGGGUUCCCGAGCAGGCUCUCUGCGUUCUGCAUGAAGCCUGCAUCGAGCCCGUUCUGGCCCACGGAGCGGUCAUGGACAAAGGCCGAGCCCUGCUGCUGACGGCCCGCUGUCAGAUGGCGGUGGCUGGGUUCAGGCCAAACGGACAAGGGCAAGCAGAUUUGCGUUUGGCGGUUUUGGCUGUCGACACGCUAAAGGAGGCUGCGGCUUAUUUCUUCAGGCUGAACUGUAAGGAGCGUCUGCGGGACGUCCACUACCUGCAGGCUCAGCUGCACCGCUCUCUGGGUCAAACCUCACAGUGCAACAAAAGCGCCAUGCUCUUCCGGCUGCUGGACCAGGAGCUGCAGUCGCCGGCGCCACCGGUCUCCAUGCGGCUCUGACCUGCAAACUGGAGUCAUCUUCUGCUGGGAAAACAGACACAACACCUCCUCCUGAGGCACCACUAGAUGGCGGUGGCGAUCUGUCCUGCUCUGGAGUGUGUGUUUAUAUUUUGAAGCAGAGAGCAACAGUGGAAGACUGAUAAUGAGAGAGGACACAAUGUCGGUAGUCAUAAAUGAGGGCGGAGAAACAUUGCAGGGACGACCUGGGGAAACCUGACAUCCUUUCUUCUGCACGGCUGCACAAGCUCUUGGCCCGGGCCCGCUCACCAUCCACUAUGUUGAGUAUGAGUGCCAGCACCGGGCCGCUGGAGGGGGCGUCUGGGACGUGCAUGGUGUAUUCCCCGACGUUGAGCCUCAGAGGGUUCUCGUUCAGCACCGGCUGCAAUGUGGAGUUUCUCAGUCGUUAAUUAUUCAUUAUGUAACUCUAAAGAAAGAAGAACACAGCACACGACCUGCCGCCUGGAUGUCCUCGACGAUGCUCUGCGCCAUGGAGCCGUUAUAAAACACGUCGGGCCCCUCCUCGGCUAUUCUUUGCGUCAGCAGCCACUGCGGCCUUCGAGUAGAAGUGGUCCAAGGGGGGAGGCGUGUUUCUCUUCCCCAAGCCCAUGAACACCCCCAGGAACAGGCUCACCGCAGCCACCAGAAGGACCACCAGACCAGCAAUCAGGGACUUCCCAACCAUUUUCCUGCCGGGGGAAAAAAACCACCUCAAUCAGAGAAAAUGUGAGUUGUAGAGCGGCAGCUGUGCGUCUCUGACCUCCAUCCCGAACAAUUAAUAUCAACACACGAGUCUGUCUGGGUGGAUUUGCGUAGGUUAAACACACGUCUGGGCUCCUCUCACGGAGGGACAAAAGGUUUCACUCACAGGGAUCCGUUUAAUCAAUGAGCAAUAGUUUGAGUCUCAGCACAGAGCGGCGACGACAGGAAUACAGCAUCAGGAUGAGAUAGGAAAUAAAACUUUACAUGAAUAAUAAUGAGAGAAAGGAGCAGAAAGUUAACUCACCUUGUUGUUAGAUAGACAGACAGAAGACAGAAAGAAGAGAGUUGGUUGUUCGACUCGCUCUGUGUUUAGUGUGACCGGCUUCAGUCUCUGCUGAGGGAACAUUAUGUGUCAUGUUUUGGUUUUUAAGGUGUGACUGAGCCCCUGAUGAGCAGUGCUUUCUGGAUAAUAACGAUGUGCUUCAUUUGUUCAAAAAUACAGGCAGAGAAACAGACAGAGAGGAACCUGAGGGUCAUUGAGGUCAUUACAGAUCCUCUCCACUGUAUAAAGAUAUAUGUACUAAUAAUCUGCUGGAACAAUAAUGUGUCUGUAUAUUAAUAAAGAUGAUUUCCACAUUAAUAAUAAAGUCCUUCAUGGAUUUUGUGGCCUUUUUUGGGGGAUUGUUUCGGCCCAAAAUGCCCGAUGUCACUGCAGCUUUUAUUAAAAAUUCAGAUGCGUGUUUCAAUGUUUUUUUAGGCAUUUGGUAUUUCAACUUGUUCCAGUGAGAAUAAAAUCAAACUGUGCACAGCUGGAAACCAGGAAGUGAGUUUGCAGGAAACUACAAUGAGCAGAAAAGUUGCAGUGAUUGGAGAAAAGUGAAAGGUAGCUCAGAUAUUCCUGCAGGGACAUUAAAGGCCAUAUUGUUUGUAUGCUUCAUCUGUUUAAAAUCCUAUAGUGUUCUAUUAUUCUAUUUGUUGAUGAUUCAUCACAUAAUGAGGAAAAAGUGAAGAAAAAGGAAAUAUUGGGUCCGAGUAGCUGUCUGUUCACUCCUGUCUCUCUUUCCCUCCGUUGUUUCUCUCCACUGGAGGUUCCUCCGGUCGCUGUCUCACCUCCCUGCAUCUCACUGUGGCUACAAGAGGCUGACCUGUCUCUCCUCUCUGUCUGUGUGCUCUGUUUCUUUUGAUGGGUCGAAACCUGAUCCGUAAACUUAAAUGACGGAGGAAAGAGUCGAGGUGUAAACAUGGAUGUUACAAUGUUUGCCUUUAGAUUUUUAAUAAAAUACACCAACAACAACAAAA
Molecule: RNA transcript, 4600 nt
Organism: Dicentrarchus labrax (European seabass)
Lineage: Eukaryota; Metazoa; Chordata; Actinopteri; Moronidae
Gene: anapc5
Gene name: anaphase promoting complex subunit 5
Exons: 20
Source: RefSeq, a predicted model, not a curated record